UAAAAUUUGAUAUUUUAAUUUUUUUAAAAUUUAGAAUUUUUUGAUAGUUUAUAUUUUUCAAAUUUAAAUUUGAUCUUAAAUUUAAAAUUUAAAAUUUUAAAAUUUAAAAUUUGAGAUUGUAAAUUUUAAUAUUUAAAUUUUAAUAUUUAAAAGUUAAAAUUUUAAAUUUAAAAUUAUAAAUAUAAAAUUUAAAAAUUCAAAUUCAAAUAUAAUGGAAGAAAUAAUAUCAUUAUUUUGGCCAAUUUGCAUAAAAAAUCCACUUAUUUUGGGCUUUUGCAAAACCGAGCCACCUUUUUCGUUUUUGCAGAUUCGGUUCGCUAUUUCCGCUGCCUGACCAAAAUACCCCUCCUAUACAAUAGCCUCCCGCGUAUUUCUUGACAUACGUAUACUACCCUACUACCAUGCCGUACUGUCUGGCGCGCAUUAAAUGCGCCGCUUCCGCCUUACGCAAUCUCGCUCAUUUCUCGGAACCCGAACCACAUCUGCCCCUCUAUUCGCCGUCACCGUUGUUUCUUGUUCGGCUUUAAGACUUUAAUAUAAUUACUCAAGAUAAAUAACAAAAUCUGCACGGCCCGCAACAGGGAUAAUAGUGCAACGCAAAGUACAACGCCAGGAAAAAUGGUGCAACUUCCCUUCUAACAGUGCAUCGCUAGGCUCGUUCCAGUGCAACCUCUCCUUAACCAGUCAAAAUUUUACUUUCUCUAUUUCUUAAUAUAAUCUGAACUUAAAAGUGCAAAAGAAUGGCGUCCCCUCCAAAUGCAGGCGAAGCGUCGGCGGCGCAGGACGGUCGCUGCGGGGUAGGGCGGUCGGCGAUGUGCGACAUAAGAGUCGGCGUGCCAGGAAGCUCGGCGGCGGGGCUGGACGGUCGCCGGCGGGGUUCGGAGUUCGAGAGGCGCGACAUAAUGGCUAAACGAUUGUGUAAAGUUUUCCUAUAAAAGAUCACGCGUUCUUUUAACUGUUAAAUAAGUUCACAGUUAAACGCGAAUAAUAGUGUAAGGCAGUGUGAAUAACAGAACAAUAUUUUACAAAAGAGUGCAAAGAAGCUUGUAAGAGUGCAAUACGGGGUAAAUAACAGUACAAUGGAUUUAAAAAUGAGUGCAACGAAACUUGUAAGAGUGCAAUACGGUAGUAAUACCAGUGCAAUGUUUUAAAAAAGACUCGUACUAAGCUUGUAAGGGUGCGUUGGAGAGGUGGAUACAACGUAUAAUAAUAGUGCAACUUUAAACGCCGAUAAUAGUGCAA
RNAcentral lists this long non-coding RNA (1242 nucleotides) under Ananas comosus (pineapple). RNAcentral's name for it is "long non-coding RNA (ACOM_LNC030711)". The record is from RNAcentral. Lineage: Eukaryota; Viridiplantae; Streptophyta; Magnoliopsida; Poales; Bromeliaceae.